RNAcentral lists this ribosomal RNA (370 nucleotides) under uncultured bacterium. RNAcentral's name for it is "partial 16S ribosomal RNA". It matches the Rfam family "Bacterial small subunit ribosomal RNA", at positions 357 to 717 of the family's 1533-position model. The record is from RNAcentral.
UGGGAAUUUGGACAAUGGCGAAAGCCUGAUCCAGCAAUGCCGCGUGUGUGAAGAAGGCCUUCGGGUUGUAAAGCACUUUUGUCCGGAAAGAAAUCCUUGGCUCUAAUACAGUCGGGGGAUGACGGUACCGGAAGAAUAAGCACCGGCUAACUACGUGCCAGCAGCCGCGGUAAUACGUAGGGUGCAAGCGUUAAUCGGAAUUACUGGGCGUAAAGCGUGCGCAGGCGGUUUGCUAAGACCGAUGUGAAAAUCCCCGGGCUCAACCUGGGAACUGCAUUGGUGACUGGCAGGCUAGAGUAUGGCAGAGGGGGGUAGAAUUCCACGUNUAGCAGUGAAAAUGCGUAGAGAUGUGGAGGAAAUACCGAUGGCG